UAUUCGGUUGGUGCAAAAGUAAUUGCAGUUUUUGGUUUUGCUUUCAAUGGCAAAAACUGUAAUUCUUUUUGCACCAACCUA
Molecule: microRNA precursor, 81 nt
Filed under: Nomascus leucogenys (northern white-cheeked gibbon)
Lineage: Eukaryota; Metazoa; Chordata; Mammalia; Primates; Hylobatidae
Description: miRNA (ENSNLEG00000035836.1)
Source: RNAcentral